This 309-nucleotide ribosomal RNA is filed under the name uncultured bacterium. Its description in RNAcentral is "partial 16S ribosomal RNA". It matches the Rfam family "Bacterial small subunit ribosomal RNA", at positions 504 to 808 of the family's 1533-position model. The record is from RNAcentral.
AGAGACAGCAGUAGCCGCGGGAAUACGUAGGUCCCGAGCGUUGUCCGGAUUUAUUGGGCGUAAAGCGAGCGCAGGCGGUUAGAAAAGUCUGAAGUGAAAGGCAGUGGCUCAACCAUUGUAGGCUUUGGAAACUGUUUAACCUGAGUGCAGAAGGGGAGAGUGGAAUUCCAUGUGUAGCGGUGAAAUGCGUAGGUAUAUGGAGGAACACCGGUGGCGAAAGCGGCUCUCUGGUCUGUAACUGACGCUGAGGCUCGAAAGCGUGGGGAGCGAACAGGAUUAGAUACCCCCGUAGUCCCUGUCUCUUAUACA